Molecule: long non-coding RNA, 752 nt
Organism: Humulus lupulus (European hop)
Lineage: Eukaryota; Viridiplantae; Streptophyta; Magnoliopsida; Rosales; Cannabaceae
Exons: 4
Source: RefSeq, a predicted model, not a curated record
AAUGAAAGUGAGAUUAGAAAAAGUCAAAUGAAAAAAACACUUGGCUUCCUCUCUCUCCCUCUCACCUUGUUUCUGCCUCUCCAUCGCUCCCUCUCUCUCACACACAGAGUCUAUCGACUCUCUCUCCAUCACGCCUGCUCUAAAAUCGAUUCUCUCUCCCUCUCACAGCUAAAGCAAGACCCAGAGAGAAUUAAAACUAGAGAGGUUGUCAGCUAGCUAAUUCAAACAGUCACAUAGCCUCUCUUUCUCAAUCAAGUAUUUAAUUAUCGCUGGGGUUGUGCAUAUUCUUGAAUCGUGGAACUCAACUGUGGUCGAGGUUGAUUGAAGGGGUUGUGAGCUUUUCGUUUGGAAGAUAGUCGAUCGCAGGCAAUAGGAUCAUUUGCCAUGAAAGUUGGUGUUGAUUUUGCAAGAGAGUCUGGUGCAUUUUUGUGGAGGCCAACUUUAGGGAUAACUUGUAUUGAAGAAAGUGUUGGAAGUGUUAUUGCUUUUGAACUGUUCUGGGAAUAUCUGAGAUUUAAUUACAGGUGAUGAAGAUAGCGACACGAGACUUUGAUGCUUGCAAUUGAUAAAGAGAAAGUAUUGGACAAAUAUUAUAAUUUGCCUUUUAUUAGACUCAUUAGACAUACUCUUUCUAAGAAUGGACUUUUAUUAUGGUAUUUUACACUUGAAAACUUUUCUUUGGGACACAUGUAUUGGAUAUUUUGGUUGAUACAAAAAAAUACAUUGGAUUUUAUCAAAUUCCAAUUACAUUA